CAUGACUGGGGUGAAGUCGUAACAAGGUAGCGCUAGGGGAACCUGGCGCUGGAUCACCUCCUUAUACGAUGAU
This 73-nucleotide ribosomal RNA is filed under the name Vibrio parahaemolyticus. Its description in RNAcentral is "partial 16S ribosomal RNA". The stretch from base 1 to 64 matches the Rfam family "Bacterial small subunit ribosomal RNA", at positions 1470 to 1533 of the family's 1533-position model. Lineage: Bacteria; Pseudomonadati; Pseudomonadota; Gammaproteobacteria; Vibrionales; Vibrionaceae. RNAcentral also lists the same sequence under 1 other name. The record is from RNAcentral.